GUCGGUUAAGGUCCCGAAAGGAUUCACUUUUUUGUGAAGAUGCCUUGUAACCGAAGAGUAUUUUAGGGGGACUCUAUG
Molecule: non-coding RNA, 78 nt
Organism: Lactobacillus hominis
Lineage: Bacteria; Bacillati; Bacillota; Bacilli; Lactobacillales; Lactobacillaceae
Source: Rfam